RNAcentral lists this unclassified non-coding RNA (246 nucleotides) under uncultured fungus. RNAcentral's name for it is "sequence contains ITS2". The stretch from base 1 to 52 matches the Rfam family "5.8S ribosomal RNA", at positions 103 to 154 of the family's 154-position model. The record is from RNAcentral. Lineage: Eukaryota; Fungi.
AACGCACAUUGCGCCCGCCGGUAUUCCGGCGGGCAUGCCUGUUCGAGCGUCAUUUCAACCCUCAGGCCUCGCCUGGUGUUGGGGCUCCUGCGCACCGCAGGCCCUCAAAGGCAGCGGCGGGUGCGCCUACGAACCGAACGCAGUAGUUUUCUCUCGUUCUGGUGCCGCGGGCGCGCUCCGGCCGUUAAACUCCUUAUACUUUUAAUGGUUGACCUCGGAUCAGGUAGGAAUACCCGCUGAACUUAA